RNAcentral lists this ribosomal RNA (1409 nucleotides) under uncultured bacterium. Its description in RNAcentral is "bacterial SSU rRNA". It matches the Rfam family "Bacterial small subunit ribosomal RNA". The record is from RNAcentral.
AGAGUUUGAUCCUGGCUCAGGAUGAACGCUGGCGGCGUGCUUAACACAUGCAAGUCGAACGGAGUCAUCAUUUUUGAAGCAAUUAGCUUGCUAAGAGUGGAAAUGUUGAUGACUUAGUGGCGGACGGGUGAGUAACGCGUGGGUAACCUGCCAUAUACAGGGGGAUAACACUUAGAAAUAGGUGCUAAUACCGCAUAAGCGCACAGUUUUGCAUGAGACAGUGUGAAAAACUACGGUGGUAUAUGAUGGACCCGCGUCUGAUUAGCUGGUUGGUGGGGUAACGGCCCACCAAGGCGACGAUCAGUAGCCGGCCUGAGAGGGUGGACGGCCACAUUGGGACUGAGACACGGCCCAAACUCCUACGGGAGGCAGCAGUGGGGAAUAUUGGACAAUGGGGGAAACCCUGAUCCAGCGACGCCGCGUGAGUGAAGAAGUAUUUCGGUAUGUAAAGCUCUAUCAGCAGGGAAGAAAAAAAUGACGGUACCUGACUAAGAAGCCCCGGCUAACUACGUGCCAGCAGCCGCGGUAAUACGUAGGGGGCAAGCGUUAUCCGGAUUUACUGGGUGUAAAGGGAGCGUAGACGGCAGGGCAAGUCUGAUGUGAAAGGUCGGGGCCCAACCCCGGGACUGCAUUGGAAACUGUCCGGCUGGAGUACAGGAGAGGUAAGUGGAAUUCCUAGUGUAGCGGUGAAAUGCGUAGAUAUUAGGAGGAACACCAGUGGCGAAGGCGGCUUACUGGACUGUAACUGACGUUGAGGCUCGAAAGCGUGGGGAGCAAACAGGAUUAGAUACCCUGGUAGUCCACGCCGUAAACGAUGAUUACUAGGUGUCGGUGGGCAUGGGCCCAAUCUGUGCCGCAGCCAACGCAAUAAGUAAUCCACCUGGGGAGUACGUUUUGCACGAAUGAAAAUUCAAAGGAAUUGACGGGGACCCGCACAAGCGGUGGAGCAUGUGGUUUAAUUUGAAAGCAACGCGAAGAACCUUACCAGGUCUUGACAUCCUCCUGAAUAAAGGGUAAAGCCUUUAGUCCUUCGGGACAGGAGAGACAGGUGGUGCAUGGUUGUCGUCAGCUCGUGUCGUGAGAUGUUGGGUUAAGUCCCGCAACGAGCGCAACCCCUAUCUUUAGUAGCCAGCGAGUAGAGUCGGGCACUCUAGAGAGACUGCCGGGGAUAACCCGGAGGAAGGUGGGGAUGACGUCAAAUCAUCAUGCCCCUUAUGAUCUGGGCUACACACGUGCUACAAUGGCGUAAACAAAGGGAAGCGAGCGAGCGAUCGUAAGCAAAACACAGAAAAGGCGUCCCAGUUCGGAUUGCAGGCUGCAACCCGCCUGCAUGAAGCUGGAAUCGCUAGUAAUCGCGGAUCAGAAUGCCGCGGUGAAUACGUUCCCGGGUCUUGCACACACCGCCCGUC